GCCAACCUAAUCUUCCUUUCUUUUCUUUAACUUUUCCAAAAUGGCUGAAAACGAAAUAGAAAAGGAACAAAAGCAUAACUUCCGUCGCAACUUUCU
Molecule: non-coding RNA, 96 nt
Filed under: Aurantiochytrium limacinum
Lineage: Eukaryota; Bigyra; Thraustochytrida; Thraustochytriidae
Source: RNAcentral